CCUACGGGUGGCAGCAGUAGGGAAUUUUCGUCAAUGGGCGCAAGCCUGAACGAGCAAUGCCGCGUGAACGAGGAAGGUCUUCGGAUCGUAAAGUUCUGUUGAAGGGGAAAAAGAGCGGAGAGAGGAAAUGGUCUCCGAUUGAUAUUACCCUUCGAGGAAGUCACGGCUAACUACGUGCCAGCAGCCGCGGUAAUACGGAGGUGGCGAGCGUUAUCCGGAAUGAUUGGGCGUAAAGGGUGCGUAGGCGGCCUGCUAAGUCUGGAGUGAAAGGUACCGGCUCAACCGGUACAGGAUCUGGAAACUGGCGGGCUAGAGAGCAGGAGAGGGCGGUGGAACUCCAUGUGUAGCGGUAAAAUGCGUAGAUAUAUGGAAGAACACCAGUGGCGAAGGCGGCCGCCUGGCCUGUGACUGACGCUGAGGCACGAAAGCGUGGGGAGCAAAUAGGAUUAGAUACCCGGGUAGUC
This 464-nucleotide ribosomal RNA is filed under the name uncultured bacterium. RNAcentral describes it as "partial 16S ribosomal RNA". It matches the Rfam family "Bacterial small subunit ribosomal RNA", at positions 338 to 795 of the family's 1533-position model. The record is from RNAcentral.